AUUGAACGCUGGCGGCAUGCCUUACACAUGCAAGUCGAACGGCAGCACGGGAGCAAUCCUGGUGGCGAGUGGCGAACGGGUGAGUAAUAUAUCGGAACGUGCCCAGUCGUGGGGGAUAACGCAGCGAAAGCUGUGCUAAUACCGCAUACGAUCUAAGAAUGAAAGCGGGGGAUCGCAAGACCUCGCGCGAUUGGAGCGGCCGAUAUCAGAUUAGCUAGUUGGUGGGGUAAAGGCCCACCAAGGCGACGAUCUGUAGCUGGUCUGAGAGGACGACCAGCCACACUGGAACUGAGACACGGUCCAGACUCCUACGGGAGGCAGCAGUGGGGAAUUUUGGACAAUGGGCGCAAGCCUGAUCCAGCAAUGCCGCGUGCAGGAUGAAGGCCUUCGGGUUGUAAACUGCUUUUGUACGGAACGAAACGGCCCUUUCUAAUACAGGGGGGCUAAUGACGGUACCGUAAGAAUAAGCACCGGCUAACUACGUGCCAGCAGCCGCAGUAA
This 501-nucleotide ribosomal RNA is filed under the name uncultured bacterium. RNAcentral's name for it is "partial 16S ribosomal RNA". It matches the Rfam family "Bacterial small subunit ribosomal RNA", at positions 30 to 523 of the family's 1533-position model. The record is from RNAcentral.